CAGCAGCCGCGGGAAUACAGAGGGUGCGAGCGUUAAUCGGAUUUACUGGGCGUAAAGCGUGCGUAGGCGGCUUCUUAAGUCGGAUGUGAAAUCCCUGAGCUUAACUUAGGAAUUGCAUUCGAUACUGGGAAGCUAGAGUAUGGGAGAGGAUGGUAGAAUUCCAGGUGUAGCGGUGAAAUGCGUAGAGAUCUGGAAGAAUACCGAUGGCGAAGGCAGCCAUCUGGCCUAAUACUGACGCUGAGGUACGAAAGCAUGGGGAGCAAACAGGAUUAGAUACCCCAGUAGUCCCUGUCUCUUAUAC
This 301-nucleotide ribosomal RNA is filed under the name uncultured bacterium. Its description in RNAcentral is "partial 16S ribosomal RNA". It matches the Rfam family "Bacterial small subunit ribosomal RNA", at positions 509 to 807 of the family's 1533-position model. The record is from RNAcentral.